CCUACGGGUGGCAGCAGUGAGGAAUAUUGGUCAAUGGGCGCGAGCCUGAACCAGCCAAGUCGCGUGAGGGAAGACGGUCCUAUGGAUUGUAAACCUCUUUUGUCGGGGCGCAAAAGACGCCACGCGUGGCGUUCCGAGAGUACCCGAAGAAAAAGCAUCGGCUAACUCCGUCCCAGCAGCCGCGGGAAUACGGAGGAUGCGAGCGUUAUCCGGCUUUAUGGGGUGUAAAGGGUGCGCAGGCGGAAGAUCAAGUCAGCGGGAAAAUUGAGAGGCUCAACCUCUUCGAGCCGUUGAAACUGGUUGUCUUGAGUGAGCGAGAGGUAGGCGGAAUGCGUGGUGUAGCGGUGAAAUGCAUAGAUAUCACGCAGAACUCCGAUUGCGAAGGCAGCAUACCGGAGCUCAACUGACGCUCAUGCACGAAAGUGUGGGUAUCGAACAGGAUUAGAUACCCGGGUAGUC
RNAcentral lists this ribosomal RNA (459 nucleotides) under uncultured bacterium. RNAcentral describes it as "partial 16S ribosomal RNA". It matches the Rfam family "Bacterial small subunit ribosomal RNA", at positions 338 to 795 of the family's 1533-position model. The record is from RNAcentral.